GUCACAAGAUGGCUGAUCAGAGC
This 23-nucleotide non-coding RNA is filed under the name Mus musculus (house mouse). Lineage: Eukaryota; Metazoa; Chordata; Mammalia; Rodentia; Muridae. The record is from RNAcentral.